Molecule: long non-coding RNA, 3958 nt
Organism: Symphalangus syndactylus (siamang)
Lineage: Eukaryota; Metazoa; Chordata; Mammalia; Primates; Hylobatidae
Source: RefSeq, a predicted model, not a curated record
ACUUACUUGUCUAGACUGCUCUCCACAUCUAAGGUGGCCCUCCUUUACCUAGGAAAAGGCAGCUUAGGUUGUUCCCCAUCUAAGCUGUGAGGGUACUUGAGAUUAAGUUAAACUUUAUGAUACCAAUCUAACACAGAUACUUAUAGAACCACUAGUUUUAUUGACAAAGGGUUAUCCUAGUGGGAUUUGCAUCUGCUCUUUUAUUGCUCCUGGCAUUAAUCUUUUUUACCAUCAAUCAUUCAGUUUUUUUGGGGGGACAGGCAGGGAGGCUGAGAUGGGUGGAUUGCUUGAUUUUGAGUUAUAAAAUGUUAGCUAAAAGGGGUCUUAGAGACUAAGCUGCUGGGGUGAUAGCCACCUUUAACAGCUGUGGAAAUCAAGGCCACAAACUGAAGUUAAUUGACAUAGGUCACAGGUGUGUUGGGACCAAUUCAGUCUUAAGUGUAGGGAUGUCUGUCAACAUUCCACGUUGUUAUAUUUGACUGUGACUGACUCUUCCAUUUUGCAUUUAAAAACAAAAUGGUGGACAGUGGUAAAUGAGAUCACUGUAAUUAAACACCAAAAGAUUUGACCACUGAAUGACUGCAUUUUUUUCUUUAUACUUCAUUAUAGGUAUUCUAUAGACUCAUCUUAAUUUUUUUUGAGCCAGUGUCAUACUCUGUCACCCAGGCUGCAGUGCAGUGGUGCGGUCAUGACUCACUGCAGCCUUGACCUCCCAGGUUCUAGCUAUCCUCACUCCACAGCCUCUGUAAUCUCUUUUUUUCUUUUCUUUUCUUUCUCUCUUUCUUUCCUUCCUUCCUUCCCUUUCUUCCUUUCUUCUUUUCUUUCUUUCUUUUUUCUUUCUUUCCUUUCUUUCUCUCUUUCUUUCUUUCCUUUUUCUUUUCUUUCUUUCUCUCUCUCUCUCUCUUCCUUCCUUCCUUCUCUCUCUCUCUCUCUCUUUCUUUCUUUCUUGAUGGAGUUUCCCUCUUGUUACCCAGGCUGGAGUGCACUGGCGCAAUCAGCUCACUGUGACCUCCGCUUCCUGGGUUCAAGUGAUUCUCCUGCCUCAGCCUCUCAAGUAGCUGGGAUUACAGGCAUCUGCCACCAAUUUUUUGUCUUUUUAAUAGAGAUGGGGUUUCACCAUGUUGGCGAGGCUGGUCUUGAACUCAUGACCUUAGGUGAUCCAUCCGCCUUGGCCUCCCAAAGUGUUGGGAUUACAGACGUGAGCCACUGUGCCCGGUCAGUCUUUCAUUAGUCUUUCUCGUUCUGUUUGUUGGUUUUCUCUCUUGCUUCAAAAGCACAUAUAGUCUGCAGUGAAAAAGAUAUGUAACUUUCUGAUCACACAUCGUUUCCUACCUUCUUUUUUUCUGUGAAGGAGAAAAAUCUUUUCCUUAUUGGCAUGGAAACAAACCAGUGUUUAUGUCUUAAAAUGUCUGAUUCUCUUUUCCUUCUUAUUUGAGGUACUGAUAAUAGGAAAACCAUUUUGAAUUAUUAGGAAUUCCUACAUCAUACUCUCUGAUAAAUACAGCCAAAAGCAAUCCCAUGCAUGGUGGGCAUGGAGGAUGGCCAAGUUAUGGGUCUGCCAUAACAAAAAGGAUUAUAAACAUUAUGGUCCAUGUUCUUCAUAUUCAAUUUUCAAAGAACCUAUCUUAACCUCUGGAAUAUUUGCUAUUAAACAUAGGUUACCCCAUUAGAAAUAAAAUAUAAAGCAGAGGGACCAGAAGAUGACUCCUUUCUGUUCUUUACCAAUAGGACAUCUUAAAGCUUUUUAUCUGUAUAUAUGGAUAAAAUUAAAAUAUAUAUGGAUAUAAAUGGAUAUAUAAAUGUAUUUUAAUGAACUGCUUUUUUUUCACACUAUCAGUCUCUGGUAAGUAGUGGAUAUUGGUACAACUGGUUUGAAUAAUAAAGCCAAUGCUGUGAAGACAUACUAUUACUUAAUUUUAUGUCAUUUGGCUAGUUUGAAUUGUAGCAACUGAGUUACUUAUGAGCCAUGCACAGUACACAUAGUAUGUACCUAUGUGUCUUAGGUGUGAGUAGCCAGAAGCAUGUGUAUAUGGAGCUGAUUAUUACCUCUUGAGCAAACAGAUUAACUUUUAUAAAAUUCAGUUUUCUCAUAUGUAAAACGUGGGGAUAGGGUUGCGGGGAGUUGGAAUAAUACAUGUCAAACGUUUAGGACAAAUCAUGCAUUCUGUAAGUGCUCAAUUAAGGGCAGUUAGUUUCAUUAACAUAUAAAGAGGAAAAUUGACUUCAUCAUAGUCAUAGUUCUUUAACUUUGGGUCAUUAAGCUUUUCACUGAUUUAAGGAAAAACCUUCCUAAGAGUAUUUUCUUUCAUUUAUUUUUUCACUUUCAGUUUUUGUUCCUCGUCUUAUUAUUUUUUUCCUAUACUUAAAUCAGCUUAAGACAUCAUUAUUCAAAGAAUAAAACACAAUAAAGUUUUGUUCUUCCAAGUUAAAAAUAUGUGAUAUGGCUAGUGGUUUUCUUCUGUAUUGGUACAAUGGUAUAUAUGUUCCUAAGCAUUGACUAUAAUUUGGACUAACAAUUUUUUUAUAUUAAAUCUUAUGCAUAAGAAAUAUGAACUUGGUCCUAAAAGCAAGAACUCAAAACAGAAAUAUAAAAAGGUUGUACAGUUCACAUAUAAAAAAGCAUUUGAUCUAUUUUGCAUAGUAAGAACAAAAUAGAUCUGAAUUAAGAACAUGUAAAAGUGGAUUUUUUCCAGAUGGAUUUAUUGUGUCUGAAAUAAUUUGAAAAAUAGUAUGCAAGGUUGUCUCUUUCCUGUCUCCCUCCAAGGAAGCAUUAGCUGUAAGUAUUUGGAAAUGUUAAUUGAUAGAUGAAACCUCAGCAAAAGAAGAAGAGCACAUUUUGACCAAUACCGAAAUAACUAACUUAAGCUUAGCUUAGAAAGCUUUUGGUGAUGCUGCAUACCUUUUAUGUCAGUUCAUUGAGCUGCAGCCAUUUACAGUGGCCUAAAGAAUAAUGACCUUGAAUUACCUCAUGUAAGAAGUCUGGAGGUUGAAAUUUCAAGGCGCUACAGCAGAAAUCCAUGCUCUUUUCCAGCGACUUUGGAGUAUAAUCUUCCUUGCCCAUGCCUGUUUCCUCAAUAUAUAACAAGACUGUUGCCAUAUAGCACUAAGGCUUUCAAGAGCAGGAAGCUGGAAGACCUUUUAUUUGUGCGCCUCUCUUAUUUUAUCAGCAGAGGAAAAUUUUGUCCCAAAGCCUUCUAUCAUAUUUCCUUUUCUGUUUCAUUGGUCAGAACUGUGUCACAUGGACACCCUUAACUCCGAAGGGGCUAAGAAAGUCAGUAUCUAGCAAAAAGCAGUGGGACUACCAUGGUGCAUUUGUACUAACUUUGAUUUAUCCCCUAGGCCUGGGGCAGGAGCCUAGCUUCCCUGAGUCAAGACAGAUUUGCCAGGUACAUGUAUGUAAAAUCAGGGCUCUGUGGGUGAGUAGGAAGGAUUGGCUAAUUGAUAGGCAAGGAACAGUGUCUGCUAUUUCCUUGAGCAAUGAUAGUGACCGGUUGCUGUAAUAGGAUUUUUGAAGCAACAGUGUUACCAUGACAGUCUGAUCAUGCUGGUGACCAUCAUUCAGCAGUGAAUAGUUAACUGCCAGGCAGUGUACAAUGGAGAGAUUGAGCUGCAGAUACAAAUUUGGAAGUUAUUAGCAUAUAUAUGGUAUCUAGAUUUAUGGGGACAGAUACUCUCUCCAGAUCAAAACAACUAAAAUGGCAUGAUGGUAAUAAAAUAAUUUUAAAAAUCUGGUAUUAUAGAAUGCCUAGGUGGUAAGUGAAGUUUUUUUUUUCUCUUUUUUGUUUUUAAAUGGAUUUUAUUUUUUAGAGCAAUUUUAGGUUCACAGUGAAAUUGAGCAGAAGAUACAAAGAUUUCCCAUGUACCCACUACGCCUACACAUACACAGCCUCCUCUACCAUCAGCAUCACGUACAACAGGGGUAUGUUUUUGUCUUUGUUUUUUUUGAGAUGGAGUCUCA